UUGAUCGAUGCUCUCUUGUGCGAGGAGAAGCCGACCACCAUGAAAAUGUGGGAUUGGAGAUGGCUACAGAUGCAAGUGAUGAGUACCAUCUGUAUGUACCUGGUGAAUAACGUGGUGAUCCAUGUGCUAAGUGAGACUUCUCCGAUGGUGCUGUGGUCGAAGCUCGANNNNNNNNNNNNNNNNNNNNAUUCACCCAACAAGUGGUAUCAGAGCGAGGUAGUACAAGGACGCAGAUUGUAGCGGUGGUGAGCAAGACUGAAGAUGGAGAAGACAGGAUCAAUCAAGAUGGAGAUCAACAAGUUUGAUGGAAAGAGCAAUUUCUCCUUGUGGCAGGUAAAGGUGAAGGACGUGCUCAUCCAACAAGGGUUGAUCGAUGCUCUCUUGUGCGAGGAGAAGCCGACCACCAUGAAAAUGUGGGAUUGGAGAUGGCUAUAGAUGCAAGUGGUGAGUACCAUCUGUAUGUACCUAGUGAAUGACGUGGUGAUCCAUGUGCUAAGUGAGACUUCUUCGAUGGUGCUGUGGUCGAAGCUCGAAAAGUUGUAUAUGACAAAGUCUCUCACCAACACUCUUUUCUUCUGGAGGUAGUUUUACCAGCUAUGGAUGGCUGAGGGACAGAGCAUGCAGGAGUAUCUAAGUCACUUCCAGAAGAUCUUCACCGACUUCCUCAACGUUAGUGAGAAUGUUGAGGAGAAAAUCAGGGUGCUGGUUUUACUAGCAUCGCUUCCCCCUUCGUAUGAGUCCUUAGUGACUGUUCUUCUAAUGGGGAAGAGCACCAUCA
RNAcentral lists this long non-coding RNA (778 nucleotides) under Elaeis guineensis (African oil palm). Its description in RNAcentral is "long non-coding RNA (EGUI_LNC025545)". Lineage: Eukaryota; Viridiplantae; Streptophyta; Magnoliopsida; Arecales; Arecaceae. The record is from RNAcentral.